RNAcentral lists this long non-coding RNA (872 nucleotides) under Anas platyrhynchos platyrhynchos (common mallard). RNAcentral's name for it is "lncRNA (ENSAPLG00000019461.1)". Lineage: Eukaryota; Metazoa; Chordata; Aves; Anseriformes; Anatidae. The record is from RNAcentral.
AUGAACCCUCCAGCUUGGUGGAUGUGCUGGAGUGAAUCAGAAAGGGCAAGUUUCCUGAAGGCCUGGGUCACCAGCGUGGAAAGCUGUGCCACAGCACGCGUGCCCCUCUGUCAGUCGGCACGAGGUCCCUGCAGGUGCCUGCUCUCUGUGCACCUGGGAACAGCAACUGCAAACCCGAGUGGGUGCCUGCCAGCACACAACAUCCCUCUCACGCGAAGUAAUGCCCUCCUCAUCCCGCAAAGUUUCUUGAAAAGCAGAAAAGGACUACUGACUACCUCAAGAAAUGUCCUGAAAUAAUCCAAAAUGAAUGCCUAUAGAAUGCAAAUUACACUUUUUCUGUCAGAGAUGAACCUUUCAGACCAUGUUCUAAGGCAGACACCCUAGCACUGUUUCUACCCAUCUUCCCUUGAGACAGGUAAGGAAAUCCAUUUCCCACUUAUCAUAUUUUUCAUGAGCUCAGCAACUGCAGCAUUACCUCAAAUGCUGGCAAAGACUGCAGUGAUCCUGAGUGAUCCUGCAUGAAGAACACCAAAUCCAGUGGCAUAGUAACACAAAUGCAGAAGCACGCCUAAAAAACAUCUUAGAACAUUCUCUUAACUGAGGGAAUAUAUAUCAGUUUCUCAGCAUACAUUUUGUACUUCUUGUGCCCAGCCCAAGUCAAAAACUGUAUGUCUGAAGGCUGAGAGCUCAAAAUCCAUGCAUUUGUCUCCUCUAGCAGUAUAUUUCUCUUGCUUUGGAUUUUACAAUUUAGAAUACAGAAUGUAAACAUUAUAAAGAAAAUGGAGAAAAGUGCAUCUUACAAAGAUUUAACUGUUUUUAACAUGAUUCUAGCUUUUCAGAAUGAAACAGAAUAAAACCUCUCUAAAGCACCA